GUUAUUAUAAAUUACACGGUGUUCAUCGACUUUAAUAUUCUAAUAUAAUGUUAAAAAUUACAAUUUGGUGCUUCCUCAUAGGUUAAACUGUAAUUGCUUGUAAAUAAUUGUAUAGGUUGUAUAGAUAGUAACACGAACCACUGAAAAAGUGUUUCGUUAUAAGUCGUUGAAUUACCUUUCUAGUAAAUUAUUUUCAUAUUAAUGAAAUGAUGAUGUAUUAUUCGUUUUGUAAUAUAAUAUAGUAUAUUAUAUAAUACUAUAAUACCAUUAGUACCUAUCUAAACCUUUAGUUUAUUAAAUUGUGAAUUAACAUUUUAGUAGGUCUUAAAAACAAAAAAUUGUAAUAUUAUAAUUAUUUUUUGGACCUUGUGUCAUAUAAGCUACAUAUCUACUAAAUAGCAGAUUACAGUGAAUCAUAUAAUAUUAAUGUACCUAGUUUUAUAAUUUUUGAAUAUAAUAUGUUACAUAUUAUAAUUUACGCAAUAACAUCACGUUUAAAAGUAAAAACAUUUUAGUAACUUAUAGCUAAAAUGGCUUUUACUUAUAUAACUGUAUAAGAUCAGAAUUUAGUAGAGAAAAACAGAGAAAAACAAAUUUAACUAAGAUUUACCUAAUUUUGAUUGCUAGGUCUUAAAAUAGCUUAUAAAAUACUACGAUACAUAUUAUAUUUUGUAAACUUUACUUGUUACUUUCGAAACAUGUAAUUGCUUUGAAUAUAUUAUGUAUAAUGUACUAUAUUAUUAUAUAGAUAUACUAUUUUUAACUUACCUAUCUCUUUCAUAUGGAAGUCUCGACCAAUUAAACUUUAUUUUAUUAGAAUUUAUUCUAACCACAAAUAUAACGAUCACGAUUUUAAUAAAAGGUAUUAUGACGCUGACACUGUAAUAUAGUUUAUCUAAUAUAUUAUCUAUAAUAAUAUUCAACCAUUAUACAAUUUUCGUCAACGUAUAUAAUAUGCUAAUAGAUGCAUUCAUGAUGUACCUACCUAUCCACAUCAAUGUAUUUAUAACAUUAGUGUAUUUGAAUUAUACGAGUCACGUUGACCUGACGGUGGGAGGGGAAAGAAAAUCAAGAUUUUCGUACAUUACAAAACCGGAGACCCUUAUCCACAUCCACCAUGAUUACGUUGUGUAUUUUAUCAGUUUAUUCAGUCUACAGAUGAAACACUGCACCGUUUCCCGUGGUACCAUUGGUACCUAUAUACCUAUUGUGUACGUGCGUGCGCGCGUUCUACCGCGGUCCCGAACGUGCAUAAUACCUGAUGAUAAUACAUAUAAUAAUAUAAUACCGAACAAACGGCCGCCGAUGCUUCAUCGUCGUCUGCGAAGGGGUAAAAUGCAUCGUCGAGUGCUCUGGCUCGCCACCGCGGUCGGACUGAUGAUGCUAUACGCAAGCAACAGGUGUCGGGACGCGAGUCGGGUCUAAGGAAACCCGAGAGGAACGACCACCUGUCGUCGGAGAUCGCAGACGAUAGGCCGCAUUACGCCUAUUCGUCCGUCGGCGUUUUAACACAGCAUUUUACGGAGGAUUGGUGGCUGCAGACCGGGUAGCUGGUUUUUCUCUUUGGUUAUCUAGCUGUAUGAGUGUUACGAAUGAAGCUCCUCAUAGGUCUAGGUGACCGAAGUUAAAAAUCGCACCCACUACUACUCAACCGAACUCUACGACGAUACGCCACCACUAUACCUACGCUGCACGGCAGACCGACGGCCAUCCGCGGAUUUUCGUGUACAAAACAUUGUCUUAUAUUAUAUUUACUUACCCAUACUUGAUUGUAAGUAUGUAUAUAGCUAUAUAUGUAUAUAUAACCCAUAUAGGCAGAUACUGCUAAAGCAGCAGCUAGCCGCGUGUGUAAUAUUAUAUAUCAUAUAUUUGAUGUACAAUGAGGGAAAAAAGUCGACGACGGCGUUCGAUAGAUCAAGAGAUUAAUGGGAUUAAUGGUUCUCCUCCGCUCCGCCAUGUCUUCGUGCUGCUGCUGCUCCUCCACCGUCGCUGACUGCAAGGCUGCGAGGUUGCCAGACACACAUAUAUAUAAUACACAGCGAUACAUAUUAUUAUUAUUAUUAUCAUUGUGUACCCCUCACUCUCCACCCACCCACCCACAUUGUAAGUGUGUGUGCGUGUGUCAUGCACCUCUUUUUUUCUUUCAGAACCGGAUUCUGUGUCAUCUUGUUCUGGACAGUUAUGGCCGCCGACGCCACGCCGGGCAUUGUUAACCUUGGGCUGGAUGUGCAUAACGAAAAUUAUUACCGCGGUGGUGGCACAGGCAAACGAACGUACAUUAUAUGUUAUUAUAAAUUAUAAUAAAAUAUAUAUAUAUAUAUAUAUAUAUAUAUAUAUACAUUACAUUAAUACUUUUAAUAUAUAUAUAUAUAUAUGUAUAAUAAACUGAUAUUGUAAAACGGAAGACCGUACAAAUAAAUAUUAAUAUAAUAUAUAUUUUAACCACAAAACCGUUGUGCCUACACACUAUAACAGUAUAUAUAAUAAUAUAAUAUAUAUAUAUACACACAGGUAACACCAAUAUUUACCAAAAGCACGUACCAUUGUGUACUGUUAUUGGAUGUUAAAACCAAAAAUAGACCGUAGUAUAUAUGUAUAUUCUACUUCAAAGAAAAAUACAGUUUUAUCAGAUUUUAACUGUCUUGGUCAUUCUACCAACGGACAACUAUUAAUUAAAUUCGAUGUUAACGCCAAAUCAAACAGCAUACACUAUACGUACUAUGUGUAUGACUCGAAUACACAAAAUAUUUGAAAAAAAAACCUAACCGAUUAGAGCCUUUGAAGUUAUAUAUUCUAAAAUCAUUGGCGUUUAAAUCAGAAUUUUAAAAAGUUCUGUAUUAUAUAAUAUAUUAUAUAAAAUUAUUGACAUUGUUUACAAAAAUCGUUUAUUUUUAUUUUAUACCCGAAAUAAUUAUGUUAAUAAUAAUGUUAUCUAUAAAAACAUACGAUUUUUGUAAUUUUACAUUAAUUGCUUUUUAAUAGGACACCUAUGAAUUCAGAAUUUAUACCAACCAAUAAACUUUGUAUAAUAUAAUAGUAGUAGUAAUCUAUUAAUACGAAUUAUUACUAUCAUAUAGUGUAAUUUUUUUUUACAUUUUUUUUUUUAAUUUAAAAUAGACAUUAAUCUGUUAAUUAAAACAUCAAGUAAAUUUGUACGUGAUAGAAUAAGGUAAAGGGAAGGUUCACACGGUUGUCUUGUGGAGGAAGCAGUUCACUGACGGCACGUCAGUUGUUUCUAAUAAGAGGUUUAUUAUCUACUUUGAAUUCUUUAUGGACUACUAAAUAAAAACAUAUUAUUUUAUACAUGUAUACUGUAUAGUAGUUGUUGUAAUGCAAUAUUAUACCAGUACAUUUCAUAUUUACUUAUGUAUACCUAAACACAAAAGCUGAAAUAUUAAAUUUAUACAAUCGUAAAAAUUAUUUUUUUACUAUUUAAGUUCAAAAUAUUAUUUAUAUGAUGAAAUAAAAAUAAAACUUACACAUUA
This is a long non-coding RNA of Aphis gossypii (cotton aphid), 3485 nucleotides long. RefSeq lists it as uncharacterized. NCBI's taxonomy places the organism in Eukaryota, Metazoa, Arthropoda, Insecta, Hemiptera, Aphididae. The transcript is spliced from 2 exons. The record is from RefSeq and is a predicted model, not a curated record.